GCAUAAGUAUUUAAGUCAUUACAUUAUGGAGGUGUUGGAGAGAGCUGGUGGUAUAGGAGGUGAGGAGGAGGGAGAGGGAGUGGUGGAGUGACACAGAGAUAAAGGUAGAGAAAAAGAGGGUGAGGCAAAGAUAGACAGCUUUACCAUAGCAAGAAAGACAGAGGGAAAGAGAGAAAGAAAGAGAGACAGAGAGAUGCACGAGAGAGAGAGAGGGACAUGACUCAGAGAGAGACAUGAGCUACAGAGAGAGAGAGGAAAAGAGAGAUAUACAGAGAGAGGAAGAGAGAGAUAUAUAGAGUGAGGGAGAUAUAUACAGAGAGAGGGAGAGAUAUACAGAGAGAGGGAGAGAUAUACAGAUAGAGGAAGAGAGAGAUAUACAGAGAGAGGGAGGAAGAGAUAUACAGAGAGAGGGAUGGAGAGAUAUACAGAGAGAGGGAGGGAGAGAUAUACAGAGGGAGGGAGAGAGAGAUAUACAGAGAGAGGGAGGGAGAGAUAUACAGAGAGAGGGAGGGAGAGAUAUACAGAGAGAGGAAGAGAGAGAUAUACAGAGAGAGGGAGGGAGAGAUAUACAGAAGGAAGGAGGGAGGUAUAUACAGAGAGAGGGAGGGAGAGAUAUACAGAGAGAGGAAGAGAGAGAUAUACAGAGAGAGGGAGGGAGAGAUAUACAGAAGGAAGGAGGGAGAGAUAUAGAGAGAGAUAUAGAGAGAGGGAGAGAUACAGAGAGAUAUAGAGAGAGGGAGAGAUAGAGAGCGAUAUAGAGAGAGGGAGAGAUAUAGAGAGCGGGAGAGAUACAGAGCGAUAUAGAGAUAUAGAGAGCGGGAGAGAUACAGAGCGAUAUAGAGAGAGGGAGAGAUACAGAGAGAGAUAUAGAGAUAUAGAGAGAGGGAGAGAUACAGAGAGAGGGAGAGAUACAGAGAGAUAUAGAGAGAGGGAGAGAUACAGAGAGAUAUAGAGAGAGGGAGAGAUAGAGAGAUAUAGAGAGAGAUACAGAGCGAUAUAGAGAGAGGGAGAGAUAUAGAGAGAGAUAUAGAGAGAGGGAGAGAUACAGAGAGAGAUAUAGAGAUAUAGAGAGAGGACAUUUCUGUGGUUAAGGAGGCUCUGUGUCUGGUCUAGUGGGUUGUCAGGACUCAUGGAGUGUGUUUGUGGCGAUCUGAUGUGACAGAGAGGUAGUCUAUACUGGCGUGCGUCGCUCUCUCUCUCUCUCUCUCUCUCUCUCUCUCUCUCUCUCUCUCUCUCAUCCCCCAUGUCCCCCUGCAGCACUAAGUGACCUACAUCUCGUGUCAGGGGGCGUUUCUGUCUGUGUGUGUGUGUGUGCAGGCGGGGGCUAAGGGUUGUGUAGGUCAUUGGAGCGUUGUAACAUGUGACUUAUGGGGCUAAGGGUUGUGUAGGUCAUUGGAGCGUUGUAACAUGUGACUUAUGGGGCUAAGGGUUGUAGGUCAUUGGAGCGUUGUAACAUGUGACUUAUGGGGCUAAGGGUUGUGUAGGUCAUUGGAGCGUUGUAACAUGUGACUUAUGGGGCUAAGGGUUGUAGGUCAUUGGAGCGUUGUAACGUGAUUUAUGGGGCUAAGGGUUGUGUAGGUCAUUGGAGCGUUGUAACGUGACUUAUGUGAGUGGAGUGCUCUGCUCUCUGUAGGAUUUAGUGCUGAGCAAUAAAGUCUACAUUUCGGGUAUUUCUUGGAGUUCAAUUGUUUGGGUUAGUGUGUGUGUGUGUGUGUGUGUGUGUGUGUGUGUGUGUGUGUGUGUGUGUGUGUGUGUGUGUGUGUGUGUGUGUGUGUGUGUGUUCUGAUGUUGGGUGUGUGUGAGUGUUCUGAUGUUGGGUGUGUGUGUGUGUUUAUUCUGAUGUUGGGUGUGUGUGUGUGUGUGUGUGUGUGUGUGUGUGUGUGUGUGUGUGUGUGUGUGUGUGUGUGUGUGUGUAUUCUGACAUUUGGAUCUAUUCCCAUCUAUUUAUAAGUCAGAGCAAUAAUCUCUCUGUCUCCGCCCCGGGCUGGGACUGACAUGGUGUCUGUGUCAAUAACAACACACCACAAUGUUAUUUGUGUGUGUGAGUGUGUGUCUGAGCAUGUACAUGUGUUUGUGAGAGAGAGAGAGCGAGAGAGAGAGAGAGAGAGAGAGAGAGAGAGAGAGAGAGAGAGAGAGAAAGAAACAUGUGUGAGUAGAUUUAAGAUGAAAUAGCCCUGUGUUGUAAAACCAGCAGUAACAGUAAUGUGAUGUGUUCCAGUGUUCUUUUACAAUGGAUUCUGAAGACAUUCCCAUUCUAGAACCAGCUCCUGUCUCAUUAUAUAUAUAACAGUAAUGUGAUGUGUUCCAGUGUUCUUUUACAAUGGAUUCUGAAGACAUUCCCAUUCUAGAACCAGCUCCUGUCUCAUUAUAUAUAUAACAGUAAUGUGAUGUGUUCCAGUGUUCUUUUACAAUGGAUUCUGAAGACAUUCCCAUUCUAGAACCAGCUGUCACGUCCUGACCAUAGUAAGAUGUUAUUUUCUAUGGUAGAGUAGGUCAGGGCGUGACAGGGGGUGUUUUGUGUUUUUCUAUGUUUUCUAUAUCUAUGUUUAGUUCUAGUUUUCUAUUUCUGUUUUUUUGGGGGAUGAUCUCCAAUUACAGGCAGCUGGUCCUCAUUGUCUCUAAUUGGAGAUCAUACUUAAGUAGG
This 2644-nucleotide long non-coding RNA is filed under the name Salmo salar (Atlantic salmon). Its description in RNAcentral is "lncRNA (ENSSSAG00000111948.1, ENSSSAG00000113267.1)". The record is from RNAcentral. Lineage: Eukaryota; Metazoa; Chordata; Actinopteri; Salmoniformes; Salmonidae.